UAGGGAAUCUUCCGCAAUGGGCGAAAGCUUGACGGAGCAACGCCGCGUGAGUGAUGAAGGUCUUCGGAUCGUAAAACUCUGUUAUUAGGGAAGAACAAAUGUGUAAGUAACUAUGCACGUCUUGACGGUACCUAAUCAGAAAGCCACGGCUAACUACGUGCCAGCAGCCGCGGUAAUACGUAGGUGGCAAGCGUUAUCCGGAAUUAUUGGGCGUAAAGCGCGCGUAGGCGGUUUUUUAAGUCUGAUGUGAAAGCCCACGGCUCAACCGUGGAGGGUCAUUGGAAACUGGAAAACUUGAGUGCAGAAGAGGAAAGUGGAAUUCCAUGUGUAGCGGUGAAAUGCGCAGAGAUAUGGAGGAACACCAGUGGCGAAGGCGACUUUCUGGUCUGUAACUGACGCUGAUGUGCGAAAGCGUGGGUAGCAAACAGG
RNAcentral lists this ribosomal RNA (429 nucleotides) under Bacteroidota bacterium. RNAcentral describes it as "Bacteroidetes bacterium partial 16S ribosomal RNA". It matches the Rfam family "Bacterial small subunit ribosomal RNA", at positions 355 to 776 of the family's 1533-position model. The record is from RNAcentral. Lineage: Bacteria; Pseudomonadati; Bacteroidota.